AACUACCACCUCCUGGCCUUUU
Molecule: microRNA, 22 nt
Filed under: Mus musculus (house mouse)
Lineage: Eukaryota; Metazoa; Chordata; Mammalia; Rodentia; Muridae
Description: mmu-miR-7647-5p
Source: miRBase by way of RNAcentral